UGGGGAAUCUUGCGCAAUGGGCGAAAGCCUGACGCAGCCAUGCCGCGUGAAUGAUGAAGGUCUUAGGAUUGUAAAAUUCUUUCACCGGGGACGAUAAUGACGGUACCCGGAGAAGAAGCCCCGGCUAACUUCGUGCC
Molecule: ribosomal RNA, 137 nt
Filed under: uncultured bacterium
Lineage: Bacteria
Description: partial 16S ribosomal RNA
Rfam family: Bacterial small subunit ribosomal RNA
Source: RNAcentral